UCGAUCGGCGCUCGAGACCAACUGACGAACAGUCAGCUAAACAGGCAAAGCAAAGUCAGUCAGGCUUCACCGAAGACCAAGCUGAUGCUGCGCACACAAAUUGCCGCAUGAGCUCGAAAUGCUCCUACCUCCUUACCUACGCACAUAUCAUUCCUUACAUCGGUUAGGCUCAGCUAAACCCAUUCAAGUUAUGCCUGCAUAUCCAACUUACAGAUUCUCGCGAACUGGUUCCAUCGCCAUGCUGGGACAGUGGGUAGUUGUUGCUGUUGUGUUCAGAAGGCUAGCAAUUUCGUAUUCUUAUUUUUAUUUCGUCUUGCUUAUUUUUCAGUUCAUUUUAUAAACGCGCGUUCCUCCCGCCUCAUUCUUGCGAUGCAUGCACAUACACACACAUACAUAUGUAUACAUGUGCAUGCUCCUUGGCCGAUUUUUCUAAGGGAAAAGAUUCUUAACUUGCUGCAGCCUAAACCACAUUCUCAAAAUAGUUGUAGGAAUGUCAGAAAAGUUUUUGGACCAAAUUUUUCAUCCUGUUCAACCGUCAACAAGCCCGUCUUGUGGAGCGACGGAUUAUCUAAAUUAUCUUUAGUUGACCAAAACUGCAGCAUUACGAGGCGAAAAUGAAGCUAACCAGGCUCUGAAUUUGAAUAGAAAAACAUUCUAUUCUGCAUUUCUGACAUACAUACACUUACCUGUACAUAUGUAUGUAUGUAUAAAAACGCCUGUUCGUAGCCAUUCACGGGGAAGAGCGAAGCUUUGAAAUGAUUGGAAUUUUUAUUUUGCCCCAAAAUCACUUGGGGAAUUACCAAUGAACGCCGUAAAUGCAAACAAUUCGCGAAGAAUUUUCUAUAAUGCUGUAUGCGGGCAGGCAUGUAUGUAUGUAUGUUUUGUUGUGUGUGCACAUUGUCAACUACAUAUUUACGCAUUUGUAUCCAUACACAUACACACAUACACAUUUCCAGCGUCAAGUAAUACGGCCAAAUGCGAACAAAGUAAAGCGAAUUCAAAUUAAAACAUAUCUCCACAUUUCGCAUGCAAACAUAUCAACAUGUGUGCAUAUGUGUAUGUAUGUAUGUAUGUUCAUAUGCUUAAAAACAAAUGUACAUAUGAAAUAAGGUAAACAGCAUAAAUACCGAAACUUGUUUUGGCUACCAAACGCGUACGAGCCGCGAGAGCUGAGCAAUCGAUGACGGCGCAGAGCUUUGGGGGGAGGGAAGCAGCCAAAGCUCCACAAUACCAACGGCUAAAGAGCGCUGGAACACUGGAUCGGUCGAUCGGUCGAUCGUUCGAUUGUCGAUUUAUUGAAUCGUUUGUUGCCCAUACUGGCUGGAAUGACUGAAAUAAAGUGAAAUUCACGAUGCACCAAAUACCAUUGAAUGCGAAUUCGCGCUGCAAUGCCAAAGUGCGCAGAGCAACAUACCAAAUCAAACCGAAACCAAGCUCAACCCAACUCACAUACUCGCAUCUAGAGCCAGGAGUCUUGCGCCAGUUUUACAGUGUGCAUUUCGAAAUAGUUGAAAUGAGCCCUAAUGAGGGGGCCGUCGUAUCAAUUCGUAAAAUAAACUCUUUGUAUUGAAACGUUGUUGGAAAAUAAGUAAGACGAGUUUCUUUAAACUUUGCUUCAAUUGCACUUACCGCAUAUUUUUAAUGAUAUUUAGAAAAUAUACUUUUUAUAUUCUUUACAUUUGGAAAAUACUAAACGAGGGCGUAAAAAAUCAUAAUUUACGUAUAUCUAUGUAAUUAUGUAUAUAUGCUGCGUGUACGUAGAAAUCAUACAACCUCACGUACGUACAUCCAUCCCCAUAACCUACUCAUACGCAUAUACUUACAUAUGUACAUAUGUAUAUAAAGGUAUUUAUGUAUGCCUGUCAUUGCUGCUACUGCAUCACGCUUUUGCUGCUGAACUGCGCAUACGCAACACAUGACAAACGUCAAGGAGACGGGCUGGCCUUAGUCCCCCAUUUCUUUUGUUUGCUUUGCCAUUUCUGCAGCUACUCUGUGCCUUGUACGCUUCGCCCUCUGGCUGGCGACUCUGGAUCUAAAAAUCAAAGAAAAACACCAAUUGCUGCACAGUAGCAGUUUCAUGUUAAUGCGCUUCGAUAUUGCAGCGAAAUGCUUACAACAAGGCAUCAGGCGCAGCAUUUCAGUUCGCAAGCACAUACAACGUCUCCCAAUUGGGACAAGUCGACAUGAGCAAUAAUUGAGACUUUCGCAGAUUUAAAAAAUCGUAGGCCUGAAGAGGUAGCAGAAAAAACCACUAUUUGUCCUUUGCCUUGCCGAAAAACUGAAAAUUAUCGCUUUGCCGUUUUUGAAAAGACUUUUAGAUUAAAAGAGAAUCCAGAUUCUAGCAGUAGCAGUUCGCUUAGCCAGAACCAUGUUUGAAACGUCAUCAUACUGACGGCUUUGCCAACUAAGCGAAGGCUUUGUAAAUAUUUCCGACGUGCGAUGGAGCAACUGUUGCAAGAAUCCACAUGCAGUAGCGCAAAGCUGCUCAGAUUUAUGGUAUGUCUCCAUGGACCCUUAAACAGACCAGUCCGAAAUGGUUCCUCUAAAACUACUUAUUUUUCAGAUCUCCUCCAAGACCGACUAAUAUUACGAAUAAACACCCUGUAGGCGCAACCUUGAACUAUCGCGCCGUCAUGGCAACGGAAAAGGCCAAACAAAAGUUUUCAUUUACUAGCAUUUCCGAAGCUUUUACGAACACAAUAUCUGUUUAUUAAAUGUGGGAACACAAAGUAGAUAAAUAAUACAUUUUCGGUUAGCAGUUUUGAAGUUGGUUAAAUCAAUAAUGUCUGAAGUCAGAGGAGCCAAUUGAAUUUAAAGAGCGAUUGAAGCAGCAACCACUUCACAUAAAAAAGAAAUCGAGCAGAGGAAACCUAGAACAGGCAACAAUCAGAGCGGCAAUUGUACGAAAAGCAAAACGCCUUCAAAACGAAAAAAGCGCACACAGUCGGUAGGAUGACGACAGCAGUUCCUUUGGCUCCAUUGGCAGCGCUCCCCUCAACGCGCAUGCUGAUGGGCACAGCCAGCAACAUAAGUUUAGCUUGUGCGAAUGCCACGACAGCCAUGGCGUCACUUUCAAUACAGCAGACACAUUCGCAGUCCCAGCCGGAGUUGGAGCCGCAGCUGCCGCCGACGAUAACAAUAGCCGCACUCGAGUGGCAGUAUUUUCAAGCGGUUUCACUGUUUCGGCGGCGAAAAUAUGAAAAAUGCGUUGAGGUGUGCAAUGGCAUGUUGCGCACUGGCCAUGAAACGAAUGUGCAAAUGUUUACCUCUUCGUCGGAGAGCCACGAGGCCGAUGCACAGUACAGUAGGGGAGUUGGCGGCAGCGGCAGCAUAGUCAGGAACAAUAACAACAGCAACAACCUGAAUCUCACAAGCGGCUCAAGGCAGGGGCGAAGCCACAACCAAAACUUCAAAAGCAACAACACGAAAUAUGGUAAUACCAAUGGUAAUAACAAUAAAGUGAGCAUGCCCACGUGGAUGAUGGAGGGCGUAUGGCAAUUAAAAAUGCGCGCGCUUACCCAGCGCGUCUACAUCGACGAUCUGGAGACGGACGAUGCCUUCGAGGGGGAGAAUGAGGAAGUGGAGUUGGAGCGAAUUGCCACAGCCGCCCGGCCAGGUACCUCAAUUAAAACAGCAUUCAUACCACGACCAACUACAAGCACGCUGCGAGCUCACACCAUAGCUGCAAAAAGAAAUGACCUACCAAUGAGUGAAGGGAGCCGCACUGCGACCGAGCAGAGCAGUAAGAGCAUUAGACCCAAAUCGGGUAUGGUACGGCCGGGUACUGCUACCUCUCGACCUGGUUCUUCAAUGGGUAGCCGUACAGCAUCACGAUGUGGUACUGCUUCGCGCAUUCGCGCUUCUUCUGCCGCCGCAUAUACGGUGGGUGAUGUUACCGCGAAACUGUAUCAAGCUUCACGCCUCAAUCCCACGAUAUACGCCGAACGAGAGGCACUUAUUAAAGCACUUUUUCAAUUCCUCUACUAUCACGAAUCGGAUGUUCAAAAAGCAUAUUCACUUUGCGAAGCUGUCAUGGAGGUGCACAAACAAAAGCGAACUUCUGGUUCCACUCGUUCGGGGGCACCAGUUGAUUGGUGGUGGGAUCAGCAAAUAGGCCGAUGUCUGCUUAUAUUACGCUCUCCACGAAAAGCGGAAACAUUUCUCGUGCAAUCAUUGGCAGUAUUUCCGCAUCCUGAUACGUUUUUACUGCUAUCACGAUUAUAUCAACGUCUGGAUGAACCCGAACGUGCACUCGAACUCAUCGGUAUGGCUGUAGACCGACAUCCGUUCAAUGUCACAUUUCGUAUCGAACAAGGGCGUAUUUUUGAUGCUCUAUCCAAACCCGAUAGUGCCAUGCAAAUAUAUCGUCUCAUUACCAAGCUUAAUCCUAUAAAUGUCGAAGCACUAGCCUCAAUUGCUUUGAAUCAUUUUUACGAUGGAAAUCCUGAGAUGGCCCUUAUGUACUACAGGCGAAUUCUAGCUUUGGGAAUUCACUCGGCAGAACUUUAUUGUAAUAUUGCAUUGUGUUGCUUGUAUGGGGGACAAAUCGAUCUGGUACUUCCUUGUUUUCAGCGAGCUCUGCUGCUGUCCAAGACUACCAAUGAAAAAGCGGAUAUAUGGUACAACAUGAGUUUUGUCGCAUUGUCAACUGGUGAUUUUCAUUUGGCUCGUCGAUGUCUUCAGCUAUGUCUAACAGCGGAUGCGUGCAGCGGCGCCGCCCUUAAUAACUUGGCUGUACUAGCAGCGCACUCUGGCGAUCUGAUGCGCGCCAAAUCGUACCUGCAGGCAGCAAAGGAAGUGCUGAGAGACAGUCCGGAAAUCAACAGUAAUUUAAAAUACAUGCAAGCCCAUUACAAACUCUAACGUAUGAGCGUGAAAACUACAAAAGUUUCACUAGGACAGGCACCGCCCUAAUCUAGCAUACAUUGAAGUUGAUGUUAAGGAUCUGCAACCAGGCAUAUAUAGCUCCGAAACCCACGUGACUGACAGCGCUAGCCUCCACAAUAGUUAACUGUUGCCGAAUUUCCUUUUGAAGCUUCUAAAAAAAAAUAAAGAAAAUAGGAAUAUAUGCAAAUUAUUGUCUUAAGUACAGAUUGUCGUAACAAAUGAUAGGAGCUUAUAAACUAAUCGAAAUGCUUAAAGUGAUGCUACAGCACGGUCUUGAAAGAGUGUGUCUGAACUUCUAGUUAUACUUUUUGAAUCGAAAUACAGAGUUCUCACGGAU
This is an RNA transcript of Bactrocera dorsalis (oriental fruit fly), 5224 nucleotides long. It is a transcript of the gene named tetratricopeptide repeat protein 8, with no coding region annotated. The record is from RefSeq and is a predicted model, not a curated record. The transcript is spliced from 7 exons. Lineage: Eukaryota; Metazoa; Arthropoda; Insecta; Diptera; Tephritidae.